RNAcentral lists this ribosomal RNA (524 nucleotides) under uncultured bacterium. RNAcentral's name for it is "bacterial SSU rRNA". It matches the Rfam family "Bacterial small subunit ribosomal RNA", at positions 355 to 896 of the family's 1533-position model. The record is from RNAcentral.
UGGGGAAUAUUGGACAAUGGACCAAAAGUCUGAUCCAGCAAUUCUGUGUGCACGAUGACGUUUUUCGGAAUGUAAAGUGCUUUCAGUUGGGAAGAAAAAAAUGACGGUACCAACAGAAGAAGUGACGGCUAAAUACGUGCCAGCAGCCGCGGUAAUACGUAUGUCACAAGCGUUAUCCGGAUUUAUUGGGCGUAAAGCGCGUCUAGGUGGUUAUGUAAGUCUGAUGUGAAAAUGCAGGGCUCAACUCUGUAUUGCGUUGGAAACUGUAUGACUAGAGUACUGGAGAGGUAAGCGGAACUACAAGUGUAGAGGUGAAAUUCGUAGAUAUUUGUAGGAAUGCCGAUGGGGAAGCCAGCUUACUGGACAGAUACUGACGCUAAAGCGCGAAAGCGUGGGUAGCAAACAGGAUUAGAUACCCUGGUAGUCCACGCCGUAAACGAUGAUUACUAGGUGUUGGGGGUCGAACCUCAGCGCCCAAGCUAACGCGAUAAGUAAUCCGCCUGGGGAGUACGUACGCAAGUAUG